RNAcentral lists this long non-coding RNA (331 nucleotides) under Nicotiana benthamiana. Its description in RNAcentral is "long non-coding RNA (NBEN_LNC002816)". The record is from RNAcentral. Lineage: Eukaryota; Viridiplantae; Streptophyta; Magnoliopsida; Solanales; Solanaceae.
UUCCCUUUGCUUCUCCUCUUGCACCAGAAGAGCAAAGGCUUGUGCCAUUGAAGGCAGUGGAUUCAUCAUUAGGAUGCUCCCUCGAACUACAGUGUAAACCUCAUUCAAGCCCAUUAGGAAUUGUAUCAAGACCUAUCUUGUUCAACUUUAUGCAUAUUCUCUUUUGCACCACAAGUGCAUUGAUAGUUACAAAUAGAUUUUGCACUCAGAUUGAUUAAUUCUUUCCACAAUUUUUUCAUCUUCGUGUAAUAUCCAGUAAUGUCGAAUACUCCUUGGCUUAAAUCAUUGAUUUCCUUUUGGAUCUGGUAUAGUUUUGCUCCAUUCGUCUGGU